GAAUGAACGUUGGCGGCGUGCUUAAUACAUGCAAGUCGAGCGAGAACGUCCCUUCGGGGAUUAGUACAGCGGCGGACGGGUGAGUAACAUGUGAGAAUCUGCCCUUUAGUGAAGAAUACACUCGAGAAAUCGAGCUUAAUACUGCAUAAGUCCCUACGGGGAGAAAGGUGGCUUUAUGCUGCCGCUAAAGGAUGAGCUUGCGUACUAUUAGCUUGUUGGUGGGGUAAAGGCCUACCAAGGCAAUGAUGGUUAACCGGCCUGAGAGGGUGAUCGGUCACACUGGAACUGAGACACGGUCCAGACUCCUACGGGAGGCAGCAGUAGGGAAUAUUGCGCAAUGGGCGAAAGCCUGACGCAGCGACGCCGCGUGGAGGAUGAAGGUUUUCGGAUCGUAAACUCCUGUUAAGUGGGAAGAAAAUCCUGCCUUUAAUAGAGGCUAGGUUAUGACGGUACCACUAGAGAAAGCACCGGCUAACUUCGUGCCAGCAGCCGCGGUAAUACGAGGGGUGCAAACGUUAUUCGGAUUAAUUGGGCGUAAAGGGUGCGUAGACGGCUUGUUAAGUCUGUUGUUAAAUUCUCCGGCUUAAUCGGAGGCAAGCAAUAGAUACUAAUGAGCUAGAGGAUAAAAGAGAGAAGUGGAAUUCCCGGAGUAGCGGUAAAAUGCACAGAUCUCGGGAGGAACACCAAUGGCGAAGGCAGCUUCUUGGUUUAUUCCUGACGUUGAGGCACGAAAGCGUGGGUAGCAAACAGGAUUAGAUACCCUGGUAGUCCACGCCGUAAACGAUGAUCACUAGAUGUUGGUUCGGCCUAGCUGAAUCAGUAUCGUAGCUAACGCGUUAAGUGAUUCGCCUGGGGACUACGGUCGCAAGACUAAAACUCAAAGGAAUUGACGGGGGUCCGCACAAGCGGUGGAACAUGUGGUUUAAUUCGACACUCCGCGAGGAACCUUACCUGGGUUUGACAUGCUUUUGACAUCCGUAGAAAUGCGGCCUUCUAGGUUUCGGCUUAGACAAUUGCACAGGUGCUGCAUGGCUGUCGUCAGCUCGUGUCGUGAGAUGUUAGGUUAAGUCCUCUAACGAGCGCAACCCUUGCUAUCAGUUGCCAGUUGCCUUAGGGCAAGGCACUCUGAUGGGACUGCCUGGGAAACCAGGAGGAAGGUGGGGACGACGUCAAGUCAUCAUGGUCCUUAUACCCAGGGCUACACACGUGUUACAAUGGUUGAUACAAAGGGUUGCGAGCCUGUAAAGGCAAGCUAAUCCCCAAAGUCAAUCUAAGUUCGGAUUGAGGUCUGCAACUCGACCUCAUGAAGUUGAAAUCGCUAGUAAUCGCGUAUCAGCAACGGCGCGGUGAAUACGUUCACGGGCCUUGUACACACUGCCCGUCACGCCACGAAAGCUGUUUGUACCCAAAGUCGCUUUAGCUAACCCGAAAGGGAGGCGAGCGCCUAAGGUGUGGAUAGUGAUUGGGGU
Molecule: ribosomal RNA, 1469 nt
Filed under: uncultured bacterium
Lineage: Bacteria
Description: bacterial SSU rRNA
Rfam family: Bacterial small subunit ribosomal RNA
Source: RNAcentral